GUCCACGCCGUAAACGAUGAGUGCUAGACGUUGGGGGCUUAGCUCUUCAGUGUCGCAGCUAACGCAUUAAGCACUCCGCCUGGGGAGUACGGUCGCAAGAUUAAAACUCAAAGGAAUUGACGGGGCCCGCACAAGCGGUGGAGCAUGUGGUUUAAUUCGAAGCAACGCGCAGAACCUUACCAACCCUUGACAUGGGACGUAUGGACUUCAGAGAUGGAGUUCUUCAGUUCGGCUGGCGUCCACACAGGUGCUGCAUGGCUGUCGU
Molecule: ribosomal RNA, 265 nt
Filed under: uncultured bacterium
Lineage: Bacteria
Description: partial 16S ribosomal RNA
Rfam family: Bacterial small subunit ribosomal RNA
Source: RNAcentral